UUCGGAGACACCGGUGACAGGUGGUGCAUGGUUGUCGUCAGCUCGUGUCGUGAGAUGUUGGGUUAAGUCCCGCAACGAGCGCAACCCUUGGCCUUAGUUGCCAGCAUUCAGUUGGGCACUCUAAGGCGACUGCCGGUGACAAACCGGAGGAAGGUGGGGAUGACGUCAAAUCAUCAUGCCCCUUAUGCCCUGGGCUACACACGUGCUACAAUGGGCGGUACAAAGGGUUGCGAACCCGCGAGGGGGAGCUAAUCCCAAAAAGCCGCUCUCAGUUCGGAUUGCAGGCUGCAACUCGCCUGCAUGAAGCCGGAAUCGCUAGUAAUCGCGGAUCAGCAUGCCGCGGUGAAUACGUUCCCGGGCCUUGUACACACCGCCCGUCACACCACGAGAGUCUGUAACACCCGAAGUCGGUGAGGU
This 417-nucleotide ribosomal RNA is filed under the name uncultured Bacillota bacterium. RNAcentral's name for it is "bacterial SSU rRNA". It matches the Rfam family "Bacterial small subunit ribosomal RNA", at positions 1018 to 1436 of the family's 1533-position model. The record is from RNAcentral. Lineage: Bacteria; Bacillati; Bacillota.